GAUUAAGUUAUUAAGGGCGCACGGUGGGUGCCUUGGCACUAGAAGCCGAUGAAGGACGUUACUAACGACGAUAUGCUUUGGGGAGCUGUAAGUAAGCUUUGAUCCAGAGAUUUCCGAAUGGGGAAACCCAGCAUGAGUUAUGUCAUGUUAUCGAUAUGUGAAUACAUAGCAUAUCAGAAGGCACACCCGGAGAACUGAAACAUCUUAGUACCCGGAGGAAGAAAAAGAAAAUUCGAUUCCCUUAGUAGCGGCGAGCGAAACGGGAAGAGCCCAAACCAACAAGCUUGCUUGUUGGGGUUGUAGGACACUCUAUACGGAGUUAACAAAGGACGACAUUAGACGAAUCAUCUAGGAAAGAUGAAUCAAAGAAGGUAAUAAUCCUGUAGUCGAAAAUGUUGUCUCUCUUGAGUGGAUCCUGAGUACGACGGAACACGUGAAAUUCCGUCGGAAUCUGGGAGGACCAUCUCCUAAGGCUAAAUACUCUCUAGUGACCGAUAGUGAACCAGUACCGUGAGGGAAAGGUGAAAAGCACCCCGGAAGGGGAGUGAAAUAGAACCUGAAACCGUGUGCUUACAAGUAGUCAGAGCCCGUUAAUGGGUGAUGGCGUGCCUUUUGUAGAAUGAACCGGCGAGUUACGAUUUGAUGCAAGGUUAAGCAGUAAAUGUGGAGCCGUAGCGAAAGCGAGUCUGAAUAGGGCGUUUAGUAUUUGGUCGUAGACCCGAAACCAGGUGAUCUACCCUUGGUCAGGUUGAAGUUUCAGGUAACACUGAAUGGAGGACCGAACCGACUUACGUUGAAAAGUGAGCGGAUGAACUGAGGGUAGCGGAGAAAUUCCAAUCGAACCUGGAGAUAGCUGGUUCUCUCCGAAAUAGCUUUAGGGCUAGCCUCAAGUGAUGAUUAUUGGAGGUAGAGCACUGUUUGGACGAGGGGCCCCUCUCGGGUUACCGAAUUCAGACAAACUCCGAAUGCCAAUUAAUUUAACUUGGGAGUCAGAACAUGGGUGAUAAGGUCCGUGUUCGAAAGGGAAACAGCCCAGACCACCAGCUAAGGUCCCAAAAUAUAUGUUAAGUGGAAAAGGAUGUGGCGUUGCCCAGACAACUAGGAUGUUGGCUUAGAAGCAGCCAUCAUUUAAAGAGUGCGUAAUAACUCACUAGUCGAGUGACACUGCGCCGAAAAUGUACCGGGGCUAAACAUAUUACCGAAGCUGUGGAUUGUCCUUUGGACAAUGGUAGGAGAGCGUUCUAAGGGCGUUGAAGCAUGAUCGUAAGGACAUGUGGAGCGCUUAGAAGUGAGAAUGCCGGUGUGAGUAGCGAAAGACGGGUGAGAAUCCCGUCCACCGAUUGACUAAGGUUUCCAGAGGAAGGCUCGUCCGCUCUGGGUUAGUCGGGUCCUAAGCUGAGGCCGACAGGCGUAGGCGAUGGAUAACAGGUUGAUAUUCCUGUACCACCUAUAAUCGUUUUAAUCGAUGGGGGGACGCAGUAGGAUAGGCGAAGCGUGCGAUUGGAUUGCACGUCUAAGCAGUAAGGCUGAGUAUUAGGCAAAUCCGGUACUCGUUAAGGCUGAGCUGUGAUGGGGAGAAGACAUUGUGUCUUCGAGUCGUUGAUUUCACACUGCCGAGAAAAGCCUCUAGAUAGAAAAUAGGUGCCCGUACCGCAAACCGACACAGGUAGUCAAGAUGAGAAUUCUAAGGUGAGCGAGCGAACUCUCGUUAAGGAACUCGGCAAAAUGACCCCGUAACUUCGGGAGAAGGGGUGCUCUUUAGGGUUAACGCCCAGAAGAGCCGCAGUGAAUAGGCCCAAGCGACUGUUUAUCAAAAAACACAGGUCUCUGCUAAACCGUAAGGUGAUGUAUAGGGGCUGACGCCUGCCCGGUGCUGGAAGGUUAAGAGGAGUGGUUAGCUUCUGCGAAGCUACGAAUCGAAGCCCCAGUAAACGGCGGCCGUAACUAUAACGGUCCUAAGGUAGCGAAAUUCCUUGUCGGGUAAGUUCCGACCCGCACGAAAGGCGUAACGAUUUGGGCACUGUCUCAACGAGAGACUCGGUGAAAUCAUAGUACCUGUGAAGAUGCAGGUUACCCGCGACAGGACGGAAAGACCCCGUGGAGCUUUACUGUAGCCUGAUAUUGAAAUUCGGCACAGCUUGUACAGGAUAGGUAGGAGCCUUUGAAACGUGAGCGCUAGCUUACGUGGAGGCGCUGGUGGGAUACUACCCUAGCUGUGUUGGCUUUCUAACCCGCACCACUUAUCGUGGUGGGAGACAGUGUCAGGCGGGCAGUUUGACUGGGGCGGUCGCCUCCUAAAAGGUAACGGAGGCGCUCAAAGGUUCCCUCAGAAUGGUUGGAAAUCAUUCAUAGAGUGUAAAGGCAUAAGGGAGCUUGACUGCGAGACCUACAAGUCGAGCAGGGUCGAAAGACGGACUUAGUGAUCCGGUGGUUCCGCAUGGAAGGGCCAUCGCUCAACGGAUAAAAGCUACCCCGGGGAUAACAGGCUUAUCUCCCCCAAGAGUUCACAUCGACGGGGAGGUUUGGCACCUCGAUGUCGGCUCAUCGCAUCCUGGGGCUGUAGUCGGUCCCAAGGGUUGGGCUGUUCGCCCAUUAAAGCGGUACGCGAGCUGGGUUCAGAACGUCGUGAGACAGUUCGGUCCCUAUCCGUCGUGGGCGUAGGAAAUUUGAGAGGAGCUGUCCUUAGUACGAGAGGACCGGGAUGGACAUACCUCUGGUGUACCAGUUGUCGUGCCAACGGCAUAGCUGGGUAGCUAUGUGUGGACGGGAUAAGUGCUGAAAGCAUCUAAGCAUGAAGCCCCCCUCAAGAUGAGAUUUCCCAACUUCGGUUAUAAGAUCCCUCAAAGAUGAUGAGGUUAAUAGGUUCGAGGUGGAAGCAUGGUGACAUGUGGAGCUGACGAAUACUAAUCGAUCGAAGACUUAAUCAA
This 2927-nucleotide ribosomal RNA is filed under the name Staphylococcus aureus. Its description in RNAcentral is "23S ribosomal RNA". It matches the Rfam family "Bacterial large subunit ribosomal RNA". The record is from RNAcentral. Lineage: Bacteria; Bacillati; Bacillota; Bacilli; Caryophanales; Staphylococcaceae.